AUCCCUAAUAGCAAAAGUAAAACCAAAAGUAAAACCAAGUGUCGUUAGCUCAAUUGGUAAAGAUCCUAGGCGAAGUUUAAAGGUUGUCGGUUCGACUGACGCUUGGGACGAAACUAAUAUUACAUGCUGUGGUUUCGGUUCUGGAGGAUUACGGGCUUCAGUCCAGAACUUCAUGAUAUUCAAAAAAAAAAAAAAAAAGUAAAAACAAAAAUAAAAUAAAAUUUCACAGUAACUAAUAAGCUUCUUCUCUCUGAUCAAUGAAAUAGAAUGCGUAAAGACA
This 280-nucleotide small RNA is filed under the name Arabidopsis thaliana (thale cress). RNAcentral describes it as "ATSL174570". Lineage: Eukaryota; Viridiplantae; Streptophyta; Magnoliopsida; Brassicales; Brassicaceae. The record is from RNAcentral.